CAGACCCUGAAUUGGGACAGAGUCACUAAGUUUGUCGUUUUUAGGAGUGUUACACUUCCCUUUGUCAGGCCUGUGAUGCGUCUUAAUAUCUGCUGGUGGAUAGGAAGUAUUUUUUGUUGUGGCACAAAUCACUUGUGUGCUAUCUUAUUGUAUAUGUACCAGAUUGUUGUGGAAACACUUUAAAGUGUUUGUACAGAUAAUACCUGAGUUUGUGUUUGCUAUAUUUCAUGCAAAGCUUGUAUAUAGAUUUGGUGUUUUGAAAGAUUUUAGACAUGAACAGUUUAUCUAAGUUCUAAAAACUAUUCAUUAAACAUGUUUGUGGUUUUCACAGUAAAAAUCAUAAUUUUCUACUGUCAGCUGGGAAGACUUCAGUGAGCCUCCAAACAUGGCUGCUGGUCCAUGGUCUGUGGUCUGUGACAUCACAGCGAGGCCACGAAGGCUGUCCAGAAUCCCAGGCUCCCACAACCGUGUCCUCCUUCUCCCUGGAUUUGAAGGACAGCUGUUUGCGUGUCGAGGAGCCUGUGCCUUCACCACGGAAGUCUCAAAUUUCCCAGGAAUGGGUGGACCAAAGACCAGCUUUCCAGAGUCAUUAUUUUGUUUUAGGAGGGUUUUUUUUUUUUCAUUUUGUUAGACAUGGCACAGUUGAAAGUAAAAGAAG
This is a long non-coding RNA of Oreochromis aureus, 658 nucleotides long. The record is from Ensembl. Lineage: Eukaryota; Metazoa; Chordata; Actinopteri; Cichliformes; Cichlidae.